Hyaena hyaena (striped hyena) is the source of this 723-nucleotide long non-coding RNA. RefSeq lists it as uncharacterized. The transcript has 3 exons. The record is from RefSeq and is a predicted model, not a curated record. Lineage: Eukaryota; Metazoa; Chordata; Mammalia; Carnivora; Hyaenidae.
UUUCCUGCGGACCUUCCCAUCGCGGGCAGUGGUCUUGCAAGCACGGUCCCGGAGCCUCAGCAUCAGCACCGCGAGGAGCCUGCUAGAAACGUAAGUUCUUGGGCCCUGGCUCUCCAGACCUACUGCCUCAGAAAUUCUGGGGGACCUUCCAACAGGUGCUCAAGUUCAAGAACCACUCCCUCAUGUAAUGGCUCUGAAGAUGUAUAAGUAAGACGUAAACGCCACUAGAGCAGGGACCAUGUCUGCCUUAUGGACUGUGUUCCGCCAAAAUCCAGAAUGCCUGGCCUGGAGGAAGAACCCACUUUCAGCGCAGAUUUCCUCUUCUGAAAGCCCGCCCUUGAGUCUCCAGGUUUGGGUGAAGCGCCAGCUGAAUGACAAGGGUGCCUUCACAGCCCACGCCUGCUGAGGCCCAUCAGGCCCACCUGGGGGCGGGAGCUGGCCCUUGAGUCCACAUUUGUUACAAGUGACACCCUGCGGCGAGUAGGCAGAGUAAGGCCCCACCCUUACAGCAGAGCACACACCUGUCACUGCUCAGAAACAAUGACCCCAAGGGCAGUUAAAACAUGAAGGCCACCGUCCAAACUGCCGUUAAUGAAGAUGUAAGAUUCAGAGACUGAAAGGGUGAAUGUUUGUUUUUUAAUCAGAUCCUCCUCCACCAAGUAUCAAACCAUGCCCACACCCUGACCAGGAUGGGCACGCCUCGGAAUCUUGUGGCUUCGGUGU